GGAUUUCCAAACACAACAUUCUUUUCCUGAUAGCCUGUUGCACCCCAUUGUGUCUCUCCCCACGCUCAUUCAGAGGUUUUAACUCCUUCUCAUAGUCAGGGGUGCAGAUGAGAUGGCCUCCCACUUAAAGUGGAUUUCCGAUUUUCAGAAGCCAUUAUUCAGUUCCACAUGCACACAUCCUCCAACUUUGCAUGUCUAUUAUGAUAAAGUAACAGAGCACUCCUGUGAGGCCAAGUCCAGGUCCGCUGCCUCUGUAUGCUGGAGGGUUAGAAAUUAAUUAAAUUCUAGUAUCUAAUUGGGAGUUUGCAGGUUUGGAGUCCACAUGUGGUCCACACAUCACUGAGAUAAUCCAGAAACUAUGAUGGAUAUAUAUGUUUACAUGUAUGUGAUAACACAGACACUCAAGGCCUGAAAAUAAAUGAGUUUUGUUGAGACAAAAGGAACAAAUCACAGCCUGGGGGCUGCUCCUGAAAAUACAAGGUGGUAAAAGUAUCAUAAACUUGGACCCAUGUCAAGGUUCCAUGCAACUAGAAACAGUCCCCAAAAUCUGGGCGAAGAAGAAUAUCAACUUAUAAGAAGGCCUAUUCCUGUGAUCUCUCUAGGAAAAAGGGUUUGACACUAACACUCAGUUGACUACACCUCAUCGAGUUCUCUAUCUAUACUAAGAGGAGAUCUUUAUCUCCAGCUCCUUCCUCACGAUGGUGAGUGCAUUUAUGAAGUAUGCUGAAGUUCAUGCUCUGGAAGGAGAAUUUGAUUCAUGUUACUCCACAAACUGAAAUAAAUAAGUAAAACAGAGAAUAGCAGUGGGCUCUGAGUUUAAGCCUCGCUCCUAACACUGAAGACGGCAACCUCAACUUCAGCUUCACCUGGGAUUCUGCAGCAGUGCACACUCUUGGGAUCUACCCCAGACUCACUGAAUCAGAAUCUGCAUUUUUAUCAAGACCUCCAUUCAGAAAGCAUUGCUGAUCAUCUGUAACCGAGAGCUUCUUCUGGAUCACACCCAGUCCAUCUGACGGCAUCUGUAUCCUCAACUGAUGAUGAUGGAGACACUGCCAUCUUCCAGUGCUGGGAGAGGAUGGGAGUACAUGAUACCAUGUCCACUGGAGUCAAACAAACCAGACUGGAAUCAUGACUCUGCCAGACAUUCUUUCAGGUCCUGUGUACCAGUGAAGCUACUGAUGUCAGCUCGUCUGAAGAAUCCACAGGUAGUCACUCACCAAAUAACUCCAUUUCUGCAUUCUGAUGUUUUCAUCCCCUUUACCAAAAAAAAUCAACAGCCCCAGUUUUCCAGUCCCUCAUCCUCCACUAACCCCUUAAAAAUUCCAUCCCAGAACUCCUCAGGGAGACAUAUUUGAGGAUCUCUUCCUGUCUUCCCCGCUCAGCACCUUGGAAUCAUUAAAAUCUUUCUCUCUGCUGCAAACUCUGCUGUCU
Molecule: long non-coding RNA, 1431 nt
Organism: Sapajus apella (tufted capuchin)
Lineage: Eukaryota; Metazoa; Chordata; Mammalia; Primates; Cebidae
Exons: 3
Source: RefSeq, a predicted model, not a curated record